UCCCUGGUGGCUCAGAGGUUAAAGUAUCUGCCCGGAAUGCAGGAGACCCGGGUUUGAUCCCUGGGUCGGGAA
Ovis aries (sheep) is the source of this 72-nucleotide transfer RNA. It matches the Rfam family "tRNA". Rfam says of the family: Transfer RNA (tRNA) molecules are approximately 80 nucleotides in length. Their secondary structure includes four short double-helical elements and three loops (D, anti-codon, and T loops). NCBI's taxonomy places the organism in Eukaryota, Metazoa, Chordata, Mammalia, Artiodactyla, Bovidae. The record is from Rfam.